UAUGGCCAUCUCAUGUUGAAACACUGGUUCUCGUCUGAUCACCAAAGUUAAGAGAUGUCAAGCCAGGUCAGUACUUAGAUGGGUGACCACUUGGCAAUACUGAGUGGUGUAAG
Non-coding RNA from Acanthosepion pharaonis, 113 nucleotides. Lineage: Eukaryota; Metazoa; Mollusca; Cephalopoda; Sepiida; Sepiidae. The record is from the annotation of a GenBank genome assembly.